UGAAAUGCGCAGAUAUCAGGAGGAACACCGAUGGCGAAGGCAGGUUACUGGGCAGUUACUGACGCUGAGGAGCGAAAGCAUGGGUAGCGAACAGGAUUAGAUACCCUGGUAGUCCAUGCCGUAAACGGUGGGCGCUAGGUGUGAGGGUCUUUUCACGACUUUCGUGCCGUAGCUAACGCAUUAAGCGCCCCGCCUGGGGAGUACGGCCGCAAGGCUAAAACUCAAAGGAAUUGACGGGGGCCCGCACAAGCGGCGGAGCAUGUGGAUUAAUUCGAUGCAACGCGAAGAACCUUACCUGGGCUUGACAUACACCGGAUCGGGCUAGAGAUAGUCUUUCCCUUUGUGGCUGGUGUACAGGUGGUGCAUGGUUGUCGUCAGCUCGUGUCGUGAGAUGUUGGGUUAAGUCCCGCAACGAGCGCAACCCUUGUCUUAUGUUGCCAGCAUUUGGUUGGGGACUCAUGAGAGACUGCCGGGGUCAACUCGGAGGAAGGUGGGGAUGACGUCAAAUCAUCAUGCCCCUUAUGUCCAGGGCUUCACACAUGCUACAAUGGUCGGUACAACGCGCAGCGACACUGUGAGGUGGAGCGAAUCGCUGAAAGCCGGCCUUAGUUCGGAUUGGGGUCUGCAACUCGACCCCAUGAAGUCGGAGUCGCUAGUAAUCGCAGAUCAGCAACGCUGCGGUGAAUACGUUCCCGGGCCUUGUACACACCGCCCGUCACGUCAUGAAAGUUGGUAACACCCGAAGCCGGUGGCCCAAACUUGUUAGGGAGCCGUCGAAGGUGGGAUCGGCGAUUGGGACGAAGUCGUAACAAGGUACCCGUACCGGAAGGUGUGGCUGGAUCACCUCCUU
This 850-nucleotide ribosomal RNA is filed under the name uncultured Corynebacterium sp. RNAcentral's name for it is "bacterial SSU rRNA". It matches the Rfam family "Bacterial small subunit ribosomal RNA", at positions 682 to 1532 of the family's 1533-position model. The record is from RNAcentral. Lineage: Bacteria; Bacillati; Actinomycetota; Actinomycetes; Mycobacteriales; Corynebacteriaceae.